CCUACGGGAGGCAGCAGUGGGGAAUAUUGGACAAUGGGGGGAACCCUGAUCCAGCCAUGCCGCGUGUGUGAAGAAGGCCCUCGGGUUGUAAAGCACUUUCAGUGAGGAAGAACGCCUGGUGGUUAAUACCCAUCAGGAAAGACAUCACUCACAGAAGAAGCACCGGCUAACUCCGUGCCAGCAGCCGCGGUAAUACGGAGGGUGCGAGCGUUAAUCGGAAUUACUGGGCGUAAAGCGCGCGUAGGUGGCUUGAUAAGCCGGUUGUGAAAGCCCCGGGCUCAACCUGGGAACGGCAUCCGGAACUGUCAAGCUAGAGUGCAGGAGAGGAAGGUAGAAUUCCCGGUGUAGCGGUGAAAUGCGUAGAGAUCGGGAGGAACACCAGUGGCGAAGGCGGCCUUCUGGACUGACACUGACACUGAGGUGCGAAAGCGUGGGUAGCAAACAGGAUUAGAUACCCUGGUAGUC
Molecule: ribosomal RNA, 465 nt
Filed under: Vreelandella stevensii
Lineage: Bacteria; Pseudomonadati; Pseudomonadota; Gammaproteobacteria; Oceanospirillales; Halomonadaceae
Description: partial 16S ribosomal RNA
Rfam family: Bacterial small subunit ribosomal RNA
Source: RNAcentral